RNAcentral lists this ribosomal RNA (466 nucleotides) under uncultured bacterium. RNAcentral describes it as "partial 16S ribosomal RNA". It matches the Rfam family "Bacterial small subunit ribosomal RNA", at positions 28 to 507 of the family's 1533-position model. The record is from RNAcentral.
GAUGAACGCUGGCGGCGUGCUUAACACAUGCAAGUCGAACGAUGAAGCCCAGCUUGCUGGGUGGAUUAGUGGCGAACGGGUGAGUAACACGUGAGUAACCUGCCCUUGACUCUGGGAUAAGCCUGGGAAACUGGGUCUAAUACUGGAUAUGACUUCUCAUCGCAUGGUGGGGGGUGGAAAGAUUUAUUGGUCUUGGAUGGACUCGCGGCCUAUCAGCUUGUUGGUGAGGUAAUGGCUCACCAAGGCGACGACGGGUAGCCGGCCUGAGGGGGUGACCGGCCACACUGGGACUGAGACACGGCCCAGACUCCUACGGGAGGCAGCAGUGGGGAAUAUUGCACAAUGGGCGCAAGCCUGAUGCAGCGACGCCGCGUGAGGGAUGACGGCCUUCGGGUUGUAAACCUCUUUCAGUAGGGAAGAAGCGAGAGUGACGGUACCUGCAGAAGAAGCGCCGGCUAACUACGUG